GACUCUGUAGCUCAAGUGGUAAAGCACUGGUCUUGUGAACAAGUGGUCGUAAGUUCAAUCCUCACAGUAGACA
Molecule: non-coding RNA, 73 nt
Organism: Acanthoscelides obtectus
Lineage: Eukaryota; Metazoa; Arthropoda; Insecta; Coleoptera; Chrysomelidae
Source: the annotation of a GenBank genome assembly